Long non-coding RNA from Salvia miltiorrhiza (redroot sage), 516 nucleotides. RefSeq lists it as uncharacterized. The record is from RefSeq and is a predicted model, not a curated record. The transcript has 2 exons. Lineage: Eukaryota; Viridiplantae; Streptophyta; Magnoliopsida; Lamiales; Lamiaceae.
AAAUUACUAAUUAUGUAUUAAAAGUUUAUGGAUUCACAGAGAUUAUUAAUUCGGGCAAAGUGUAUCAAUAGUUAGUGAUUUUCCCCUCUUUAUUUAGAAGUUAGAAUAGCACCAAGAGACCUAUUAAGAAUAGAUUUCUUGUAGGCCUUGAGGACCAGGAGGAUUAGCACUGCUUUCCCGUGACAGGUUUACGAUUAAACUACAGGCUUUGCCUAUUCAGGUUGAUCGGCUGGUGCAGACGGGGCUGAGCUGAGGCUGGGUACCACAAUGUCUUUUGCUUCCGCUAACGACUAGCUUGUCAUUUCGUCUGUUAAAUUCUCUAAACUUAGAAUUUCUAUUAUGUGGUACAAUAUUAUCUUAUUGGGCUUAAACUCUUAUCCUAUAUUUCUAUUAAUAAAGCUAUCUUUGAUUAUGAUCAGAGUCACGAAACUAAAUUUAUGUGAUCCUGAGUUGGAAUAUUGUCAUUUGAUUGGCAACUCUUAAGGCCUUUCAAUUUACCUCAUUUCAUUUUAUCUC